UGAGGAAUAUUGGUCAAUGGACGAGAGUCUGAACCAGCCAAGUAGCGUGAAGGAUGACUGCCCUAUGGGUUGUAAACUUCUUUUAUAUGGGAAUAAAAUGUUUCACGUGUGGGAUUUUGUAUGUACCAUAUGAAUAAGGAUCGGCUAACUCCGUGCCAGCAGCCGCGGUAAUACGGAGGAUCCGAGCGUUAUCCGGAUUUAUUGGGUUUAAAGGGAGCGUAGGUGGAUUGUUAAGUCAGUUGUGAAAGUUUGCGGCUCAACCGUAAAAUUGCAGUUGAAACUGGCAGUCUUGAGUACAGUAGA
RNAcentral lists this ribosomal RNA (303 nucleotides) under uncultured bacterium. Its description in RNAcentral is "bacterial SSU rRNA". It matches the Rfam family "Bacterial small subunit ribosomal RNA", at positions 355 to 655 of the family's 1533-position model. The record is from RNAcentral.